RNAcentral lists this microRNA precursor (208 nucleotides) under Oryza brachyantha (malo sina). RNAcentral's name for it is "MIR812 microRNA precursor family". It matches the Rfam family "MIR812 microRNA precursor family". The record is from Rfam by way of RNAcentral. Lineage: Eukaryota; Viridiplantae; Streptophyta; Magnoliopsida; Poales; Poaceae.
AAUAAGAUCAUUUUUCAGUUUUCUGAUACAAUGUUUUGACUCUUCGUCGUAUUUGAAAAUUUUUUGUGAUUGAUAUUUUUAUUCUUACUAGAUGAUAAAAUAUGAAUAAUACUUUAUGUGUGACAAAUUUUUUAAAGUUUUUUUACAAUUUUUCAAAUAAGACGAAUGGUCAAACGUUGGACACGGGAAAACGAAAAAUGAAGUUAGU